This 89-nucleotide non-coding RNA is filed under the name unclassified sequences. RNAcentral's name for it is "DUF3800-VII RNA". It matches the Rfam family "DUF3800-VII RNA". The record is from Rfam by way of RNAcentral.
GGUAGGCAUGUGCAGGAUUAAUCGUAGGUUGUCCGAAAGGACAGCAGCGCAUAUAGCGUGGGUUCCUACGACCUGAGGUCUGCCGUUUU